This 771-nucleotide ribosomal RNA is filed under the name uncultured archaeon. RNAcentral describes it as "bacterial SSU rRNA". It matches the Rfam family "Archaeal small subunit ribosomal RNA", at positions 1 to 750 of the family's 1478-position model. The record is from RNAcentral.
UUCCGGUUGAUCCUGCCGGACCCGACUGCUAUCGGAUUGAGAUUUAGCCAUGCGAGUCGAACGUCCCCCUGUUGCGGGGGGCGUGGCGUACGGCUCAGUAACACGUAGUCAACCUGCCCUGGAGACAAGGACAACCCCGGGAAACUGGGAUUAAUCCUUGAUAGGUCAUCUCAUCUGGAAGGAGAGAUGGCUUAAAGGGGUACGCGGGCUUCUUCCGCGAAUCUGCUCCAGGAUGGGACUGCGUCCGAUCAGGCUGUUGGCGGGGUAAUGGCCCACCAAACCUGUAACCGGUACGGGCCUUGAGAGAGGUGGCCCGGAGAUGGACACUGAGAGAAGGGUCCAGGUCCUACGGGGCGCAGCAGGCGCGAAACCUUCGCAAUGCGCGAAAGCGUGACGAGGUUAAUCCGAGUGACUCCCGCUGAGGGGGUCUUUUGUCAGCUGUAAAUAGGCAGGCGAAUAAGGGGAGGGCAAGCCUGGUGUCAGCCGCCGCGGUAAUACCAGCUCCUCGAGUGGUCGGGGCGAUUAUUGGGCCUAAAGCAUCCGUAGCCGGUUCCGUAGGUCCUCUGUUAAAUCCAACCGCUUAACGGUUGACCUGCAGAGGAUACCGCGGGACUAGGAGGCGGGAGAGGCGGACGGUACUCCGCGUGUAGGGGUAAAAUCCUUUGAUCCGCGGAAGACCACCAGUGGCGAAGGCGGUCCGCCAGAACGCGCUCGACGGUGAGGGAUGAAAGCUGGGGGAGCGAACCGGAUUAGAUACCCGGGUAGUCCCAG